GACGAACGCUGGCGGCGUGCCUAAUACAUGCAAGUUGAGCGCUGAAGGUUGGUACUUGUACCGACUGGAUGAGCAGCGCACGGGUGAGUAACGCGUGGGGAAUCUGCCUUUGAGCGGGGGACAACAUUUGGAAACGAAUGCUAAUACCGCAUAAAAACUUUAAACACAAGUUUUAAGUUUGAAAGAUGCAAUUGCAUCACUCAAAGAUGAUCCCGCGUUGUAUUAGCUAGUUGGUGAGGUAAAGGCUCACCAAGGCGAUGAUACAUAGCCGACCUGAGAGGGUGAUCGGCCACAUUGGGACGGGGACACGGCCCAAACUCCUACGGGAGGCAGCAGUAGGGAAUCUUCGGCAAUGGACGAAAGUCUGACCGAGCAACGCCGCGGGAGUGAAGAAGGUUUUCGGAUCGUAAAACUCUGUUGGUAGAGAAGAACGUUGGUGAGAGUGGAAAGCUCAUCAAGUGACGGUAACUACCCAGAAAGGGACGGCUAACUACGUG
This 497-nucleotide ribosomal RNA is filed under the name uncultured bacterium. Its description in RNAcentral is "partial 16S ribosomal RNA". It matches the Rfam family "Bacterial small subunit ribosomal RNA", at positions 28 to 507 of the family's 1533-position model. The record is from RNAcentral.